Long non-coding RNA from Lactuca sativa (garden lettuce), 1104 nucleotides. RefSeq lists it as uncharacterized. NCBI's taxonomy places the organism in Eukaryota, Viridiplantae, Streptophyta, Magnoliopsida, Asterales, Asteraceae. The record is from RefSeq and is a predicted model, not a curated record.
UACCCUUGGAGUUUCCCAAUGGAACAACUCCAGUGACAUGUCGUGUAUGCAUAUAUGACAACCCAGUAGAUAGUAAAGUUGGUGUAUGAUCAUUGAUGAAUAAAGCUUCUGCCCCUUUACUUCCUAAUGGUAGUCUCUACAUGGAAGAAGUCCAUGUUAAGGUAAGGGCAUUUUCAUCAUUUCACUUAUAUCAACAAUGUAAAUCUUUUUUUUUGUGUUCAGCUAGGUGAAGUAUUAUGGUUUACAGUAGGUGGACAACAUAUCCCUUUUGAUGCUUCCCCACAAAACAUUUGGACUGAAGUAGGUUGACCAGAUGAACAGAUUAACACAUGUGAGGAAAAUCUAAGGGUUGCCCUUAUCGUCAUUUUAGAAAAUCUAAGGGUUGCUCUUGCUAAAACGGGAGUAAGCAGCAGAAAAUUGGAGCAAGUGGUGGAUAAGGCAAAAGGGAGACAUUAUCAGUUAGCAUGCACUUUAACCUUUGAAGCUAUUCAUGGAGCUUCUUGUUAUUUAUAAUAUGUUUGUGACUCUGGAAUAAAUCAUCCAAAUCAUUACUCUAAAGCCAGCCAAAACAUCCUUAGAGAAAAGGUACCUAUCAUUUGGUAAAUAUGAGUGAAACCAAUUGAUAUCUCAAGAGCUAAUUGUUGAUUGCUUAUCAGUGUACAGGUAAAGUAAUUUUAUUUGGCAAUUAAGUUGUUAUUUUGUAUCUAUAGUACAUACUUAUGUGUGUUUUCAAGGUCUUUUAAUUGUUUUUUUGGUCUAAAUGAAGAAGAUAUAUAGAGAAUUGGUGCUGAUUUGAUGCUAUUUAAAGAUGAUUAGGUCAUUCAAAUAGUUUUUGGACAUGUUUGCCAUGUUGCUGGUGGAAACUAGCUUGUUGUGCAAAUAGCCAAGUAUUUUAAGGCUCAUGCAUGCAAAUUUGGAGACUUCAAUACUCCCACUUGCUUAUAAGGUACUUCUAAAGUUCCAGGUGGCAAUCCAAUGACACGAAGGACCCGGUUAUAUAGUUAGGGAUGCAGUAUCAUGUUAUAUAGUUAGGUAAAACCCUUUAAUAACAAUGUACAAUUAGAUCCCUUUAAUAUCAAUGUAUUACAAUUUUUUGAUAACUUA